RNAcentral lists this ribosomal RNA (253 nucleotides) under uncultured bacterium. RNAcentral's name for it is "partial 16S ribosomal RNA". It matches the Rfam family "Bacterial small subunit ribosomal RNA", at positions 524 to 776 of the family's 1533-position model. The record is from RNAcentral.
UACGGGGGGGGCAAGCGUUGUUCGGAAUUACUGGGCGUAAAGGGCUCGUAGGUGGCCAACUAAGUCGGACGUGAAAUCCCUCGGCUUAACCGGGGAACUGCGUCCGAUACUGGUUGGCUUGAGUUUGGGAGAGGGAUGCGGAAUUCCCGGUGUAGCGGUGAAAUGCGUAGAUAUCGGGAGGAACAUCAGUGGCGAAGGCGGCUACCUGGCCCAAUACUGACACUCAGGUGCGACAGCGUGGGGAGCAAACAGG